AAUGCACGCAAGUGUGACCAAGCGACGCCGAGUGCUGGAUGAAGGCCUUCGGGUUGUAAACAGCUGUCAGAGGGGAUGAAUUGUUGGGGGCUAUCCCCCUUCAUUGACAAAGCCUCAGAGGAAGCGCGGGCUAAGUUCGUGCCAGCAGCCGCGGUAAUACGAACUGCGCGAACGUUAUUCGGAAUCACUGGGCUUAAAGGGUGCGUAGGCGGCCUGUUAAGUAGGGUGUGAAAUUUGUCGGCUCAACCGGCAAACUGCAUUCUAAACUGGCAGGCUUGAGUAAGUCAGGGGUGUGCGGAACUUCCGGUGGAGCGGUGAAAUGUGUUGAUAUCGGAAGGAACGCCGGUGGCGAAAGCGGCACACUGGGGCUUUUCUGACGCUGAGGCACGAAAGCCAGGGGAGCGAACAGGAUU
RNAcentral lists this ribosomal RNA (413 nucleotides) under uncultured Gammaproteobacteria bacterium. RNAcentral's name for it is "bacterial SSU rRNA". It matches the Rfam family "Bacterial small subunit ribosomal RNA", at positions 370 to 779 of the family's 1533-position model. The record is from RNAcentral. Lineage: Bacteria; Pseudomonadati; Pseudomonadota; Gammaproteobacteria.